RNAcentral lists this ribosomal RNA (733 nucleotides) under Bacillus sp. (in: firmicutes). Its description in RNAcentral is "bacterial SSU rRNA". It matches the Rfam family "Bacterial small subunit ribosomal RNA", at positions 79 to 794 of the family's 1533-position model. Lineage: Bacteria; Bacillati; Bacillota; Bacilli; Caryophanales; Bacillaceae. The record is from RNAcentral.
CUUGCUCCCUGAUGUUAGCGGCGGACGGGUGAGUAACACGUGGGUAACCUGCCUGUAAGACUGGGAUAACUCCGGGAAACCGGGGCUAAUACCGGAUGGUUGUUUGAACCGCAUGGUUCAGACAUAAAAGGUGGCUUCGGCUACCACUUACAGAUGGACCCGCGGCGCAUUACCUAGUUGGUGAGGUAACGGCUCACCAAGGCAACGAUGCGUAGCCGACCUGAGAGGGUGAUCGGCCACACUGGGACUGAGACACGGCCCAGACUCCUACGGGAGGCAGCAGUAGGGAAUCUUCCGCAAUGGACGAAAGUCUGACGGAGCAACGCCGCGUGAGUGAUGAAGGUUUUCGGAUCGUAAAGCUCUGUUGUUAGGGAAGAACAAGUGCCGUUCAAAUAGGGCGGCACCUUGACGGUACCUAACCAGAAAGCCACGGCUAACUACGUGCCAGCAGCCGCGGUAAUACGUAGGUGGCAAGCGUUGUCCGGAAUUAUUGGGCGUAAAGGGCUCGCAGGCGGUUUCUUAAGUCUGAUGUGAAAGCCCCCGGCUCAACCGGGGAGGGUCAUUGGAAACUGGGGAACUUGAGUGCAGAAGAGGAGAGUGGAAUUCCACGUGUAGCGGUGAAAUGCGUAGAGAUGUGGAGGAACACCAGUGGCGAAGGCGACUCUCUGGUCUGUACUAUCUGACCCCUCAGCGUCCAGAUCCCAAGACAAAGGAUUACGAACACGCUUUUACC